Long non-coding RNA from Equus caballus (horse), 1763 nucleotides. The record is from Ensembl. Lineage: Eukaryota; Metazoa; Chordata; Mammalia; Perissodactyla; Equidae.
GGCAGUGCCUGGCGCACAGGGAGCCGCCCUAACUGGCCAUUGUUCCCGUUAUUAACAUAUCAUGGAGGGUCCUGCUGGGGAGCGAGGGAGCUGUGAUUGUGGUGACAGCAGCUCGCACUGGGAGACUGGUGACCUGCCUUGGCCUGUCUCCACCCUUAGCACAGGAGGAGGAACACUGCCUGCAGCUUGACUGGAGUGGGUUAGAGUGUAAUCCCUUCCUGCUGGGCUGGGCUGGGCGCUCUCGGAAAGGGCCCCUCUGGAGCUGUCUGGAGGACGGGGGAAAGUGGAAGGAGAGUCUGAUAGCGCAGGCCGACAGCGGCCCUGGAAGGCUUCUCCCUUGAGGCCCGCGCUCUGGCGGCAGCGACAAGGCCUGAGGAUGAGCACACACGGAGGGGGCUGGCUCGGCCUCGGGCGCCCAGUGGGUGCGGUGGAGCAGGGCAGGAUGCCGGCCUCAGCACUCUGCCUCCCGUUCCAGGCUGUGUGGCAGCCCAGUGGGCAGGGGGCUUCCCCACGGUGGGCCUGGAACCCAGAGAGGUUAGGCAAGCUGUGCAAGGCCAGCGGAGGGAUGCCGGCUUUCAGAGUCGCGGCUGCCCCCUUUCCCCUCAGGGCUCUGUGUGUGAGGCAGUGAAUCACCCGCGGGACGCGGAAGGAGCAGCGUGCGCUCCUGUUUCUGUCUCCCAGGGUGAGGGACACGCUCCCCUCCUCCCCUUCAUCUCCCGGGACGGGUUUGCUGCGUGGGAGGAAGAGCGUGGGCUCAGUUUAUGGCGUGGUUUUGCUGGGAUUGUCUCCUGCUGGCGAGAGGAGCCGGCGGCAGGCGUGGAUUUCUGCUCGCCCUGUGUCCGGAGGCCAGGCCAACUUCCGACGACUGCUUGUACGGAUAAUAUGGCUGCUGUGGCGAGGCCAUGGGGCUGUCCUGUGGGACGGGUCUCUUGUCCGUCGGUUCCCCGCACCCCCCGCCCCCAGUCCCGGUCCCAACUGACAGCUCCUUGAGGGCGGGGCCUGUGUCUGAUUCAUCCUAACCCCAGGCCAAGCCCUCAGCGUGCGGCAGACCUGACCCCCAUAGCUCCUUGGCAUGCGCCGUCCCACGCCCACCCGGUCCUCUCUCCCGCGGGCCUUGUCCUAGUAGGUGUGGGCUUGGCCUGCAGGGUGCAGGGCAGCCCAUGAGUGCUGGGGAGGCAGUGCCCCAGGAGCCAAGGAUGGACUGGAGCCGGUCUGCGCGCCCUCCAGCCUGCUCCCCGACAGGGGUCAACUAGGACCCGUUCUGACCAUCUCUCUGGCAGCCCUCAGCAGCAAGCCACUUAUCACCACACUGCUCUGGCUGUCGUCCCCUCCUGUCUGCGUCCCCACUCCCACGGCAGUGCUUCCCAGGGUCACCUCCCACAUGACCUGCUUGCGUCCCAAUCCUCAACCUCGGGGUCUGGUCUGUGGAAGCUGCUGAAUGCUGGGGAUGAAUGCACAACUCCAUGGAUGGGCAUCAUGCAGAAGCCCGCUCUGGGGGCAGGUGAAGGAGGUCCCGUCCUGACCACGAGGUGCUCUGCGGCCUGGGAGGCUCCCUAGCCGGCUCUCGCGGAUGGUCGCGCACAGAUGCAGAGGAGUCUUCUCGCCAUUCCCAGCAGCCAUAGCGUUUGGCUGCAACUGGUCUCCAUCUCUUCUCCCCACUUUCUCCUUUCCUCCCUUCUUUCCUCUUUCCUUCCUUCCUUUUCCCUUCCCGUCUUCCUUCAUUCCUUUCUCUUAAAGAACAAGGAAAGAAAAGGAACAUAGCA